Molecule: transfer RNA, 84 nt
Filed under: Candidatus Woesearchaeota archaeon
Lineage: Archaea; Nanobdellati; Candidatus Woesearchaeota
Description: tRNA-Ser
Rfam family: tRNA
About the family: Transfer RNA (tRNA) molecules are approximately 80 nucleotides in length.
Source: RNAcentral
GCCGGCGUCGCAUAAUCUGGUAUUGCGCGAGGCUCGAACCCUCGUUUCCUUCGGGAUGUCUCGGUUCAAAUCCGAGCGCCGGCG